AAAAAACUGAUGACAAAGGAUGAGUACUUGAUACCAUUGUGGCAUAGCGAUUUCUGGAUGGUGGAAGCAGAAAGCAUAAGGUAACAGGGAAUGCCCCUUUGAGGGAUUUUUCGAUAAGUAGAAAAAUACGUGACACGGCGUUAUACGUGAAGAGUGGAAAAGCAUAUUUCAAGCAAAGUGGAACCGCGUCUAAGAUAGGCGUCUUUGCA
This 209-nucleotide non-coding RNA is filed under the name Eubacterium sp. Its description in RNAcentral is "T-box sequence". It matches the Rfam family "T-box leader". Rfam says of the family: Uncharged tRNA acts as the effector for transcription antitermination of genes in the T-box leader family. T-boxes are found upstream of many aminoacyl-tRNA synthetase genes and some amino acid biosynthetic genes usually in Gram-positive bacteria. Lineage: Bacteria; Bacillati; Bacillota; Clostridia; Eubacteriales; Eubacteriaceae. The record is from RNAcentral.